This 328-nucleotide long non-coding RNA is filed under the name Equus caballus (horse). RNAcentral's name for it is "lncRNA (ENSECAG00000044252.1)". The record is from RNAcentral. Lineage: Eukaryota; Metazoa; Chordata; Mammalia; Perissodactyla; Equidae.
CGAGGAUUCUAGAGGGUUUAGGGAAGAGGGCUCUGGGAAUCCCCUGUGGUCUGCGUUACAUGGUCGCCUGAGCAUCGGAAGCGGAGGUGAGACAAGAACCUGGAGCAGACGGGGCAGGAGACUAUGCUGCGUGUGGAGUGCUGCUGCUGUGGCCGGCGGGUGAUUCCAUCAGGAAAGUCCAUCUGGAGCCCAGUCUCCCGGCACUGCCGAUUGCGGAAGCAGGUUUCCUGAGAUGCCAUCACGUCCUGGCUUAAUGCUGUGGGGGAGGAAACACUGUCCCCCAUCCUCCCAGGUUGACAGCUGGGGCUUUGAAAUAAACCAACAACAG